GACGAACGCUGGCGGCGUGCUUAACACAUGCAAGUCGAACGGUGAAGCGCCUUCCUUUUUGGUGGGUGUGGAGGAGUGGCGAACGGGUGAGUAACACGAUAGUAACCUGCCCCCUUCUUCUGGAUAACCGCAUAAAAGUGUGGCUAAUACGGGAUAUUCUGAGUCUGUCGCAUGAUGGGUCUGGGAAGGAUAUUGUUUCGGUGGUGGAUAGGCUCGCGGCGUAUUAGCUUGUUGGUGGGGUGAUGGCUUACCAAGGCGGCGAUGGGUAGCCGGCCUGAUGGGAGGGUGGGCCGCCAUAGAGGGACGGCGACGCGGACACGCCUACUGCGGGAGGCAGCAGGGGGGAUUACGGAACAAUGGGAGGAAGGAUGAAGCAGCGACGCGGGGGGGGGGAUGGAGGCCGUAGCGUUGUGAUCCUCUUUCGCGAGUGAAGAAGGGCUGAAGUGUCUGUGGGUGGGUUGACGGUAGCUGGACAAGAAGCGCCGGCUAACUACGUG
Molecule: ribosomal RNA, 497 nt
Filed under: uncultured bacterium
Lineage: Bacteria
Description: partial 16S ribosomal RNA
Rfam family: Bacterial small subunit ribosomal RNA
Source: RNAcentral